GGGUGUGGUAGUUUUGACCAGGAAGUGAGUUUUCAGGAAGUUCUAGAACAGAACCAAUUAAGAACAGACAUCUCCGUGGACCUACAGGGUUAAAUAUCAGGAGAUCCUGAGAAACUUCCUCUUUCCUUCCGGCCUCGAAGGAGCUCUGCUCGGCCUUGAAAUCUGACACCAUAAGCUGCAACCGAGAGACAGAAGACUUGGGCAACCUGAAGCUUUCAGAAUUCCAACCCUUUCCCUGAGAGAGAGAGGAAGGAACAUGUAGAGAGACAGCAUGAUAAGUCAGAGAAAGAACUGAUAAAGAUCAUUGGAAGAAGACACUUCUGACUGGACUUCUCUGGAUGUAAACCAUGGAAAUUGGACUAACGUGAUAAAUGAUGUGGGAUAAUUCAUGUUUUUAAUGUAUGUAUAAUAAAAAUCAAGUUAUACCCUUUGAAAUAAACAGUAAAAUCAUACAAGGCUGGGGAGGGAGGUAGACUGAUUCGGAAUCGAAAACAACCUUGCCCGGAACUGGAGACGACCAAAUUUACAAGAGAAAAGGAGAGGGGGUCCGAGGAAGAUGGAUCCUGACACAGAUGGAGCUUAAACGACCCAACCAUUACCACCGAGAUGGGCCGUGCUCUGCCACCAGGGACACGCAUGUCAAUAUGUGAUUCCCAAAAGUCAUACCUAAUAUUCAUCUCCCCAGGAAGGACUACUCAACUGACCGAAUGGCAAAGAUGAAUCUCCGUGAAUACGAAAGAAAGCUGAUUCAACCAACCAAGCGGCAAGGAUGGACCACUAUGAAUACGAGGGAAAACUGAAGGGACAAAGAAAGCAUGAAAUAAUGCUCUGUCCCAACUGUAUAAAAACUGGGUUCACGGAACCAGCAGUGUGAACAGGGGGGCUACGGCGCGAUAGAGGUCUCAGCUAAGGUCCACCCAGUGCCGAUCCUGGGACUCGACACUGAUUCCUUGAUUGUUGGCUUACCCGAAAUUUUGUCCAAUUAUUUUUCUAAAAUAAAUAAAAUAAUUUAUUAAUUUGGAAUUAGCUUGGCAUUUAUUACAAACAUAUCCCUUCAAAUCAUGGGAAGAUAUGCAUUUAGGGAGAUGUGCAAAUUUGUGUGUAGAUUUUGAACAAAGGUGUGUGUGAUAGACUAAGUAAUAUUGAUCUUAUGAGAUGUUUGAACAGAGAUAGAGAUAAGUCUAUUGUGCUGGUGAAGAAGUGAGAAGAUAUCUCUGUUCCCUGAGAAGAAGAAUCCUUUGUUCUUUUGAGCUGUGCAUCUUUAAAAGGUGACACCUUAAUAUGCAAAAGUCUAGACCCAUGACCCAUAAGCAGCCUGGGAAACUGCUAAUGGGAGGGGUCACAGAAGCAGGGUUUUUUACUGGGCGGCUGUUUUUUGUGGCAGUUAAAACCCACAAGAAAACAGUGGGAAAAUUCAUGGGACAUCAAGAGAGACUCCUCUCCUAAAGUGAUGGAAGAUUAUGUUUAAAUAGUGAAACUGACUGAAAAUCAUAGUUUUGUCUCUCUAUGUUGGUUGUGGGAAAAUGAACAGUUUGUGGGGAAGGGAGAAGGGUUUUGAAAGUGUGAUAAAUGCAGUGGAAUAAUUCGGGUUAUGGUGUAUAUAAAAUGUGAUGUAAAAAAAUGUUUUGUAAAAUAAAAUGUACAAGCAGGUCGGGAAUGAAGCCGAGGAAUUUUAGGAUGGACAACACCCAAAGCCAGGAAUCCAGGAGAAACAAUACCCCUACCGGGAACUCGGGAAGUGCAACAUUAACACCAGAAAAAGAGGGUGGACCGAGAUCAGAAUCGGUCCUCCAGGGCGGUGAAACUGUGAAGCACCCAGCUAUCAGGGUUGAUGUGGAUCACCCAGCUAUCAGGGUUGAUGUGGAUCGGGGAGAACGCCUCUUCAUUCAUGAUUUCAUCUCCCCAUUCAUGCUCCUGAGGAACUGACUUAAUAUUCAUUUUCCCUCAGAAGCCCUAUUCAGCAGACCAGACGGCAGAAAUGAAGAAGAAGGACUGAAGACAAAGAACUGUGGGGAAAUACUCUGCCACUGGCAAAAUAAACUGUAUAAAAGGGGACCCAAAAGGGACUAAAUUCGUGAACAGGGGGAGUUACGGUGCGAUAGAGGCCGUAGCAAAGGUUCACCCAGUGCCGAUCCCGGGUCUUGACACUGAACUUCCAAUUCCUGGCUUGCCUAAAAUUUUUGUUCUGUAAUUCUUUAAUUAAUAAAAAAUAUUUUAUUAAUUGGAAUUGGCUGGACAUUUAUAACAAAGGGUUCAAAUUUUCUUUUUUUUAAUUUCAAAACUUUUCUUUUUUUUUUCCCUUCCUUUAGUGUGUGUUAAUAAAACUAUCUUUCCAACUUUUAAGUUGGGCCUGUUUUGCCUUUUUCCUCCCAAAAGUCUAUCUCACAGAAAGAAAAGAGACUAGGCACAAAAACCAUCACAAAUUUGGUACACUGGCCGGGAAAGAUCAGAAUUGGCGAACGUGAAACUGCUACACCGGGUCACAUGUGGGGAUGGCUUCUGACUGGAACAUCGAUGCGACUGGAGCUGAAGGAGGCAGACUUGCAGGGGCUUGUUCUCCAAAGCUGGGGGCAGAGUGGGGAUUUGGGUUCCCUCUGUGGGUGUCUCGUGGCUGUAAAUGCGAUGGUGCCGUGGAAGGAGCAGGACCGGUUGCAGGAGCAGGGCUAGGUGCAGGAAUGGUGGCAUUGGCACUUCCUGGCUCCGGUGUAUUUCCGUAUAUGAUGUAAAAUAACAUCCGGGCAUCUGAGGUGACAUCAUCUCGUGCCCCACCCCCCGUGUUACAGUGGCAGGCAGGUGUGGCCAGCAGAGGCAGGGCUGUGAGCGUGGUCUGUGAACUGAGCCAACCAGCUCCGGGCAGGGGCAAUCCGGGCAUUUCCAUGGUGACGAGAGUUUCAGGACACCUUGUAACAUUUGGCUAAACCAAAUGUUGAAAAGGCAGGUGCCACCCGAGAAACAUUCAGAAAGAGACAAUAGGUUUACGGGAAACCGGCAGCAUCCUCGAGCACCGGGAGGAGACCCAUCAAGACACCCUCACAGAUCACCAAGGAUCAUCAUCCACAUCUCGACCAUUCAUCAGCCAUAAGGAUCUAUAGAAACUGGACAUUAACAUAUCAACUGAAAGAAAGAACUCUUUCCAGCCUGGUCGGAGAAACCCUUGAAUUUCAAUAGCUAGCCGGGAAACAAAGGGAAAUAUGGGGAAAUAUUGCCGAGGGCAGAAUAAAGUGUAUAAAAACUAAGCCCCGAACCGGGCAAAUUUGUGAACCAUAGGGGAGAUAGCAGACUGCCAGGUUCUGUAUCUCACGGUUCACCCUUGGCAUUUUCCCGGGAAAAAGACUGUCAAGUAUCUCCGCUGUUGGUGGGUUUAUCGAAAUUCUGUAAUUCGAUCUUUAUUAAUAAACCAAAUUAUUAUUUUAAUUGGAAUAUCGUAUUGGCAUUUAUAACAUUCAC
Prinia subflava (tawny-flanked prinia) is the source of this 3447-nucleotide long non-coding RNA. RefSeq lists it as uncharacterized. Lineage: Eukaryota; Metazoa; Chordata; Aves; Passeriformes; Cisticolidae. The record is from RefSeq and is a predicted model, not a curated record. The transcript is spliced from 3 exons.